This 372-nucleotide ribosomal RNA is filed under the name uncultured bacterium. RNAcentral describes it as "bacterial SSU rRNA". It matches the Rfam family "Bacterial small subunit ribosomal RNA", at positions 524 to 898 of the family's 1533-position model. The record is from RNAcentral.
UACGGAGGAUCCAAGCGUUAUCCGGAUUUAUUGGGUUUAAAGGGUGCGUAGGCGGACUUAUAAGUCAGUGGUGAAAGUUUGCAGCUUAACUGUAAAAUUGCCGUUGAAACUGUUAGUCUUGAGUGUAAAUAAGGUAGGCGGAAUGUGUUGUGUAGCGGUGAAAUGCUUAGAUAUAACACAGAACACCAAUUGCGAAGGCAGCUUACUGGGAUACAACUGACGCUGAGGCACGAAAGCGUGGGGAUCAAACAGGAUUAGAUACCCUGGUAGUCCACGCAGUAAACGAUGAAUACUAGCUGUAUGCGAUAUACUGUAUGUGGCACAGCGAAAGCGUUAAGUAUUCCACCUGGGGAGUACGUUCGCAAGAAUGAA